GCCCGCCUAGCUCAAUCGGAUAGAGCGUCAGACUUUUACGGCGGUGCUUUGCUUACCUCGAAAUAUCUGAAGGCUGCGAGUUCGACCCUCGCGGUGGGCU
Paramarasmius palmivorus is the source of this 100-nucleotide non-coding RNA. The record is from the annotation of a GenBank genome assembly. NCBI's taxonomy places the organism in Eukaryota, Fungi, Basidiomycota, Agaricomycetes, Agaricales, Marasmiaceae.